This 87-nucleotide small RNA is filed under the name Xanthomonas phaseoli pv. phaseoli. RNAcentral's name for it is "Xanthomonas axonopodis pv. phaseoli sX9". Lineage: Bacteria; Pseudomonadati; Pseudomonadota; Gammaproteobacteria; Lysobacterales; Lysobacteraceae. The record is from RNAcentral.
ACGCGAUACGGCCUAUCUGCGGCUUACGGUGCGGUUCCCGAGCGCCGUCAAUACCACCUGACCACUGCGCGCUCCGUUUGGGUAGGC